Molecule: long non-coding RNA, 3882 nt
Organism: Xenopus laevis (African clawed frog)
Lineage: Eukaryota; Metazoa; Chordata; Amphibia; Anura; Pipidae
Exons: 3
Source: RefSeq, a predicted model, not a curated record
UUGGGAAUCUGAAAUCAGAGAGGAAAGCCACCCCUUCACAGAGCAAUAUGACUGGAAAUUCCCAGGAAGGACAGAGAGGUGCCCAUUGGGGGGAAGAAGGAAAGCUCAGCCUUGCGGUGAAUCAGCAGAAAAGACGAUGGGGAGCUACUAGAAGAAUCUUCAGAGGAAGCCAGAUGUGUGCGUUCGGCAUGUGACCCAAGACAAGCCCUGAGCAAGAACGAGAUCAUUUUUUUCCCUCGUUCGACACACCGUUGAUUGUGGCGGCAUUGUGAGGUGAGAGAAUCUGACAGCACUAACUCUCCAGGGCAGAACUUUCCAGUCAAGUGGAUCAACGGACUGAAAAUCUCUUAUGAAUAGUCAUUAGGCCUUCAUUACAAGGCCCCUACAACCCGGCUCCCUUUUUUUUUUUCUUGCAACCAAAUGCCUUUUGUCAUUUUCACAAGGUGCACUAUUUAAUUACCAAUUGAUUUCUUCAUAUAUGACAACACGUCAAAUAGCAAAAUACAGAGGAAGUCCCUCAGGGGCCCAACAUUUGUUAACUAUCUGCGUGCCAGAUUGCAAUGCUUAGCUAGCAUAUUAUGGAUUGUGAUACUUCAAUCACUCCCCUCAAAGUUCCAGUCAUUUUCAAGUGUCUGCAAAUCAAUUGUCGUUUCACUAUAUCCCAUUGGUUAGCACGGAAAAGACACCAAAAUCAGUGAAAAAAAUAACUAGGGUUCCUGAUUCCUCAAAAGGAAAAAACCCUGUAAAUUGGGCAUUUAUUCUGUAUUUCCAGAUUUCAAUUUUUAUUUCAUAUACAGGAGUGAAAGUUGCCAUGUUGCUUGCCUCAUUUUCCAUCAUAACAUUAUGUCAAAGGCAAUGUGCCUACUGUGGGCAAAUGUUCAGGCAUUCCACCAGGGCAGAUCCCAUUAGCAGGUAUAGAGAUUUUAAGGAAUAUGGAUAUAAUAAGCUACUGUUCUGUUUAAGGGAGACAAUACUCAAUCUCCCACUGCAUGCAUAAACACAAUAUGCAAAUAUUAUAUGCAGUAUUCGCAUACUGUGCUGCCUAAGGGAAGCAACAUGGCAGCUCCCACUCAUAUGCAUAAAUACUCAUGUGCAUUAUACAUUCAUUCAAUGCUCACAACAACCCUGAUUUUAUUUAACCACCCACCCAAGCUAGAAAUAUCUCCUAUUAUUGCUUUUUAUUAUUGAUAAUUAAGCAGUUUGUCAUUGCCAAAUGUUGAGGGAAUCUGUUUUGAACCCCACUGCUACCUCAGUUGCUUCCACCAUAAAUAAAGAAAAAAUUUCACAUGAAAUAAGUAGAAUUAUGAGCGCAUCAAGGAGAGCUGAGGGGAAACACAAAGACUUGUGUGGGUAUUUAAAUUUGGCCGCAGGUAAAAAUGAAUGGGCCUGACUGAUUUUCACACUUUCCUUUCACCAUAAAGAUGACAGCUUUCUUUUCAUCUUUGAACUUUAAGAUUCAUAACGACUUUAUUCAUAUCGCUUCAGUUCCCGUGCGUGUCGCUCAGACCUCAAUUUUCCAUACUACUAAAGACAGAAACAAAGUGAUCUGAACAUGGAGAAUGUCUCCAUACUGGGUCUUUUCUUCCAUCAUUUUUUUAAGCUACCAGUAUCUCAGGCUGGGAGGCCACAAGGUUUCUUAUCACCUGUAGUAUAGUCUAUUUCAUUUUAGUCUUCUUACAAGAAAUCAGGAGUGUGGCCUAGCAUGGCUUGAUGUCAUUGAAGGCAUAGCCAACUGUAAAUAGAACUCUUCAUAGCAGGACCGUCUACAUUAGAUGUCUCCCCUAUGCUAAGAAUAAUUCAGCAGGAAAAGUGAAAAGUUAUACUUGCCCUUUUUUUUAUUGGUCAAGAUAAUACACAGCCUGGUCUUUGCUUAUUACGUCAUUAAAUAUACAUCUAUAAAAAAGCUGGAGGAGUGGUACUGGAGAAACAAAAAUGUCCUGGCUCCUUUCUUGCAAACGCUUACUUCCUUUUCACUCUGUGACUUGAUCAAAAAUGACAGUUUUUCUACUGUUUACAUGAGUUCUAUUAGAUAAGGCAUUUAGGUGAGUAAUCUGUAAGGGGAGGGGGGGCACCCCUGACUUGGGGUUGGCCUCGCUCAUGAAUAGUUUCAUAAUUUAUUACAUUGUAAUUUAUUUAUUUGGCUGCAUGGGAGAGAUAAGAAUUGUAAUGGGGGGGGGAUACAAGUGCCAAAGGAACAAGAAUGAAAACAGGAAUGUUAUGAAAACUGAAGCCGUUAAGAAACAGCAAGGUGCACUGUAUUAUUCAAGGCUAAAUCACAGCGUAUUGAAUUAUUUAUAGAGAAAAAUGAUACUGUAGAUACCCCUUAAAGGGCUGGAGAAAGGGACACCAUCAAUGGUGGUUUGGUAUAUGCUUCAUUAUCAUAGUCUAUAUACCAUACCCUACUCUAACCCUUGGUCCCGGUGCCCUAUAUAUUCAUGUUAAGACAUACAAGUGAAGGGGUAAGUUCUAUUUUGCUGAUAAAACACCCAUUACUCCAUGACAGCCUUUGGCAGCUGGUUGGAUAAAAAUGUUAUGUUAUCUAAACCUCUCCCUCAUAUGAAUACUUUGAGCUCAGUAUUGGGCUGAAAAGAUCGUUUGGCCCUCGGCAUCAACAUGCCAAUGUGAUCCUUGCCCCGAUGCGAAAGAUCUAACUUGCCAAAUUGGAAUCUUUUAGUCAGAUAUCGCUCUGGCAGGCCCAUCGUCCAGGCACCAAAGAAUUUUAAGGACCAACUCAGCAGUCCAUGUAAGGCCAGCUUAAGGGUAUUGCCAGGAGUUUUGAGCAAUUAAGAGGCAAUUUGUAUUAGUCCGUUAUCCCACAUCAUUCUUACUUACAUCUGCUUCUCUUUGGGGAGCCACAAUGACCCAUGGUAAUUAUUUCUGCUUUAACCCCCUGUAAGCAAUAUGGUAGCACCUACUAAUAUGCAGAGAAGGAAUGCUUUAUAUGCAAAAUGUAUCGAGUAACCAUAAGCAAGACCCAACUUAAAAGUUUUAGUUCCCCUUCAACUGUUUAAUCUAACACACAGAAUUGUGUAAAACUUAUACAGACCACAAAGUGGUAAAAAAAAAAAAAAAAGUACAAUACUCUCUGUUAUCCGUGCGGUUUUGAAGUCAAAUCGAGCACUCAACCCCGAUUCAUCCAAAUGCACAACGUGGCACAUUAUCUCUGCCCCAUCCUUCUGUAGAUACAUGCAACACAGAUAUGCUUUUGUGCUCUCUUGCAAAAGUAAACACAGAAGAAUGCGGCCUUGCAUGGUGUUGGCUGGAGCACAGUAUCUUCCUCAUACCCGCGGCUCCAUAAUCAAGUCAGUAUUGCCUUAAUAAGCUGAAUAAUAGGGGAAUUUCAAAUGUGCACAGGGCUAUUAUGCCGUAACAAUAAAACCUCAAACUGAGUCGAGCAGAGGUAGGCGUCACAAUAUAAUGAGCGCAGUGUUGCACUUGUACAUUCCAUUGUGUGCCAGGGUAAAUGCCGGCUUCACUCGCACACAGAAGCCACAUUAUACGGUAGUCCAAAAAGUGUUCUCAGCCAGUGACUGGUAGUGAUGGAACCUGGCACGAACUCCCUCUGAAAAGCUGACAUUAUUCUCCGAAAUGUGCUGCAGGUGUACGGGGGGCCCUGGAAAUGGGCUCUAAUUACAUAUUUUCUUGCAGGGUAACAAUUAAGGUCGCUAAAAAUAAUUGCCGGUUUCUUGUAAUUCCCCCUCUAGGAAGGCUGACAUGGGGGGCGUUGGUGAAUAUUUACAGUACAUUUUCUAUUUUUAUUGCCUGGAAAAUAACAGAUUCUUGUGUUCCAUGAUAAUAAAAAAAUAUAUAUCUAGUAAUGAUGUCAUAAUGUUUAAUAGAUGAUUACAUACUUUUUUUAAAAACUACAUGAAUCCAAUUUGC